UACGGAGGGUGCAAGCGUUAUCCGGAUUCACUGGGUUUAAAGGGUGCGUAGGUGGGCAGGUAAGUCAGUGGUGAAAUCUCCAGGCUUAACCUGGAAAUUGCCGUUGAUACUAUAUAUCUUGAAUGCUGUGGAGGUAAGCGGAAUAUGUCAUGUAGCGGUGAAAUGCUUAGAGAUGACAUAGAACACCAAUUGCGAAGGCAGCUCACUACACGGUCAUUGACACUGAGGCACGAAAGCGUGGGGAUCAAACAGG
Molecule: ribosomal RNA, 253 nt
Filed under: uncultured bacterium
Lineage: Bacteria
Description: partial 16S ribosomal RNA
Rfam family: Bacterial small subunit ribosomal RNA
Source: RNAcentral